This 1289-nucleotide ribosomal RNA is filed under the name Triticum aestivum (bread wheat). RNAcentral's name for it is "partial small subunit ribosomal RNA". The record is from RNAcentral. Lineage: Eukaryota; Viridiplantae; Streptophyta; Magnoliopsida; Poales; Poaceae.
CUCCUUUCUUUCUCUGCCCCUCGCUCCGUCACGCACCCACAAUCCCUCCCCCGAAACCCUUGCUGCCGCCACCUACGCCUCUUGUUCCGGCGUGUUCCAGCGGGCCUCGCCGGCACGCAUCCCAGAUCCGAGCUCCCCUGCCUCCGCUCUUCCCCCCCCUCCGGCCAAAUCCGCCUCUCGCGUCCCCGGUACUCAUCCCGAACCCGGUAGCUCAUCCACCCCCUCCCUCAUCUCCUCGCUGCUGCCACCUCCUCCCCGUCCUGCAGCGGCGCGUCCCGCCCCUGACCGCCCCCUCCUCCUUCCUCGAUGUGUCCCGCAGCGAUUCCCAUCGCGUCCCGCAGAUGCCGUCCCUCUCCCUCAAUCCCCACCGCGUGUUGAUGCGCCAAAGCCCUCGCCUCCUACAGCUCCCUCAUCCUGCCCGGCGACGAGCACUCGCCUCCGCCUCCCAGCUCGCGCCUCGCGCCGCCGAGCUAUGGGGGCGGCGGAUAUCCGGGGACGAUCGCCGCCAUCGUCACCGCCCUCGGCGGGGGCCCCGCGGCCGUCGGCAUCGUCCGCCUGUCCGGCGCCGACGCCGUCACCGUCGUCGCCCGCGUGUUCCGGCUGGCCAGGAAGGAGCCGGCGCCCUGGAGGCCCCGAAGCCACUUCGUGGAGUACGGGGUCGCGCUGGACGGAGAUGGGGGCGUCAUCGAUGAGGUGCUGGUGGUGCCCAUGCUGGCUCCGAGAUCCUACACCCGAGAGGAUGUGGUGGAGCUCCAGUGCCACGCGAACGACCUUUGCUUGCGUCCCGUGCUGAGGGCCUGCUUGGAGGCCGGUGCCAGGCUCGCCGACCCUGGUGAGUGAGCAUCAAUUGAUCAGCUUGUGAACUGGAUUGUGACCGCUCAAGAAGCUACAACUGAGCCAUGGGCAAGGGACAGAUUUGCAUCGACAUCGUGGUCAUUGGCGAAUCGGUAGUAUUGAUGUACAAGUUUACUGUAGUAUUUUGAUGAUUGCCUUCAUUCAUGUUUCAAUGUGAGCUCUAGGUCGAAGUUGCAAGAAGAGCUCUGGGUUGAAGAAGUUUGAAGAAGGGAACACUUCAUUUUUGUAGCUAGUUUUAUGUUCCUGGGUGUUUACUUCAUAGAUGUUCCUGGGUGUUCCUGGGUGUUUGUUUACUUCAUAGAUGUCCCUGGAUGUUUGCACUUCCUGGGUGUCCUAAAUUCCUGGAUGAUGUGGACUACCGCAUGGUUGUAAUAUAUAUAAUAUACUCAUUUUGGACGUCAUGUGUGAAAAUUUGUGUGGUUGAAGUAUUGGAA